This 777-nucleotide long non-coding RNA is filed under the name Homo sapiens (human). Its description in RNAcentral is "non-protein coding lnc-SEC11A-6:7". Lineage: Eukaryota; Metazoa; Chordata; Mammalia; Primates; Hominidae. The record is from RNAcentral.
AUGCCGAACAUCCCAGGGGACCUGGAGAGCCGGGAGGCCAUGGUGGCAUUUUUCAACUCCGCUGGAGCCAGUGCCCAGGAGGAACAAAGGGUGUGCUGCCAGCCCCUGGCUCACCCAGUGGCCUCGUCCCAGAAGAAGCCAGAGGUAGCGGCCCCAGCCCCAGAGAGUGGGGGUGAGUCUGUGUUUGGGGAGACCCACCGGGCCCUGCAGGGGGCCAUGGAGAAGCUGCAGCGACUUUAUGGAAGGAGAAGGUGGACCUGAAGGAGCGGGUAGAGAAACUAGAGCUUCAAUUCAUCCACCUCUCAGGACAGACAGACACCAUAGAAAGUACAUCAGCCAGGGGGCAGUGUCAGAGACGCAGCACUGGGAGAGGAGGACAUCGUCAGGCUGGCCCAGGACCAGGAGGAGAUGAAGGUGAACCUGCAGGAGCUGCGGGGCAGGUGUUGCAGCUUGUGGGCGACCACAAGGAGGGGCAUGGCAAAUUUUGACCAUUGCCCAGAACCCUGCUGAUGAGCCCACUCUAGGAGCCCCAGUAGCCCAGGAGCUUGGGUGUGCUGACGAGCAGGGUGAUCUUUGUGAGGUGAGCCUCACUGAUAGCGUGGAGGCUGCACCAGGAGAGGACAGGGAGGGUUCUCCCCACGACAACCCCACUGCACAGCAGAUCCAGCAGCUGCUUCCUGUAAUGCAGGACUCCCCAGGAGCACCCAGGCAUGGGCAGCAACCCCUGCAUGCCAUUCUUUUUGGGCUCCCGAGAACAGGGAGAUAAACACCACCAUC